Molecule: ribosomal RNA, 496 nt
Filed under: uncultured bacterium
Lineage: Bacteria
Description: partial 16S ribosomal RNA
Rfam family: Bacterial small subunit ribosomal RNA
Source: RNAcentral
AUUGAACGCUGGCGGAAUGCUUUACACAUGCAAGUCGAACGGUAGAGGGGGCAACCCCUCGAGAGUGGCGAACGGGUGAGUAAUAUAUCGGAACGUGCCCAGUCGUGGGGGAUAACGUAGCGAAAGUUGCGCUAAUACCGCAUACGAUCUAAGGAUGAAAGUGGGGGAUCGCAAGACCUCGCGCGAUUGGAGCGGCCGAUAUCAGAUUAGGUAGUUGGUGGGGUAAAGGCUCACCAAGCCAACGAUCUGUAGCUGGUCUGAGAGGACGACCAGCCACACUGGUACUGAGACACGGUCCAGACUCCUACGGGAGGCAGCAGUGGGGAAUUUUGGACAAUGGACGCAAGUCUGAUCCAGCCAUUCCGCGUGCAGGAUGAAGGCCCUCGGGUUGUAAACUGCUUUUGUACGGAACGAAAAGGUCUCUCUUAAUACGGGGGACUCAUGACGGUACCGUAAGAAUAAGCACCGGCUAACUACGUGCCAGCAGCCGCAGUAA